RNAcentral lists this long non-coding RNA (767 nucleotides) under Salmo salar (Atlantic salmon). RNAcentral's name for it is "lncRNA (ENSSSAG00000093033.1)". Lineage: Eukaryota; Metazoa; Chordata; Actinopteri; Salmoniformes; Salmonidae. The record is from RNAcentral.
AAGUAGCUCAUCUUGAGAUAGGCUAUUGCCAAGAGGAGCGCAUUGGCCCUCACCUCACUGCCACCAUCUUCUGUGAAGUCAGACUAACAGUAUGUAUGUAGCUGUCUAAAUAAUGACCUUGUUCAUCCCUGAUAUGGCUGGUCGUCUGUUUUUGCUCAUCCUCCUUUUCGAUACCUUCCAGUACAUCAAAGCCAAAGAUCUUCCUCGGCCCAGUCUAACAGUGAUUCCUGCAGUCAUCAAAGAGAGAGACUCAGUUCAGCUGAACUGUCAGACUCCUUCAUCUGUCUCUGAGUGUUACUUCAAAAUGGAAGGGCAAGUGGAAUUCACCCUACCAUCACCCUGUCAACAGACUCUCACAGGAACACUACUGGUGAGGUGGACAGGUCAGAGUUCACCAGCUGAGGUCAAAAUACAAUGUCAGUACAGUGCUACAGGUUCACAGUUUAGAUCCAUGUUCAGUGAGCCUUCAACAGUCACAAUUCAGGACCUUCCUCAGCUGACAGUGAGUUCUACAGUCAUCAGAGAGACAGAAUCAGUUCAGCUGAGUUGUGAGACUCCUCCAUCUCUCCCUGUGUCUCACUGUUACUUCUACAUAGAGGGGAGGAAGAAUCUUCCAGACUCAUUGUGUACGCAGACAAUAACAGGAACUCAGCUGCUGAAGAGGGCAGAUCAAACAUUUCCAGUUGUGGUCAAAGUGAAGUGUUACUAUGCUGUAUGGAAGUCUCACACAUCUCCGUUUAGUAACUCUGUCUCAGUCACUGUUCAGG